Long non-coding RNA from Sinocyclocheilus anshuiensis, 1187 nucleotides. RefSeq lists it as uncharacterized. The transcript is spliced from 4 exons. Lineage: Eukaryota; Metazoa; Chordata; Actinopteri; Cypriniformes; Cyprinidae. The record is from RefSeq and is a predicted model, not a curated record.
GCCUUCACUUCCCAACAGCUGAAAUAAAAACUGAUUAUAUGAAGAACCUGGUGAUUAUGGAAAAACAACAGCUUGAUUGACAUGAGGGCCUACAGCAAAACGUGUUGACCCAUCACUCUCUUGUAAAAUGACUUGUCAGUCUUACCUCAGACGUUGUGUAUGCACAGAAGACAGAACAACCAACUCUGCUAGACCCACAGGAGACUCAAUGUUACCAGUUACAACGGAGCAGAGAGAAUUAAGCACAUAAGAAAUAAUGGUCAUGUAUGAGUUACAUAGUACAAGUAACUGCAGUGAGGGAUUGUGUGUUGUAAGUUAAAGUAGCAUUGAAAAUGACAGAUACUAUAACUAUAUACAAGAAUACAGAGCACUGAUCCAGAUAUUCAGCGCAUUUUAAAACAGCACAAUUAAACAUCAGAGGCCCUGGGAGAAUUUAAAGUCACAUCUGGCUUGAUGGGCUUUAUUUGUCAACAUUUAACCACAUUUUCGCAUUUCUAGAAAGAAAGAAGAAAUCCAACUCGUUGUAGUCAGUUAAAACAUUCUUUUUAUUAGGAUUUCAGGCUAAUAGAUUUCAGACUUCUUGAGUUGGACUUAUAAAAUAACGACUGAAUACAGUUUCUGAAACAGAACCAGUACUGCCAGUAUCUUUCCAAGCUUUCUACUUGACUUAUACUGAACUUCUCUUUAAAAAGUGAUGACAGAUGGAGACUUAAAGACUGACACAAGUAAUUAAUGAUAUAGCUAGUAGGGUAAAAGAUUCCAGUGGAGAAAACUGAUAGCAAUUGUAUUUUUAUCGACUCUUUGCCUCUCUCCGGUGGUACAAGUAUGUAUCACAGUUCAUCAAUUUGAACUGUCCAUAAUGGAUAAAUGCAAAAACACAACUUCAAAUAAGAAUAAAACAGUUUAUGAAAUUUUUUUUCUACAACUUUGUCUUUUUUUAAAGCCUUUCACACAACGAGCACUACAAAUGAUCUGAUGGAAAUGUUUUACUCAAUGGUCAAAAGUACAAUGCAACUUUAAAUAUGGUCAAACCGUAAAUCACAGUCAUUUGUAAUAUUUAAUUCAUGAAAUAAACUAACAAUGAACAACAGAUGUUCACAAGCAAAAAAGGAAAAUAAAUUCUCAAAAAUAAUGUGUACAAAUAUGCAAUUCCCAUCAUUCAAAUUAAAUUUUCCUUUUACCUGCAG